This 492-nucleotide ribosomal RNA is filed under the name uncultured bacterium. Its description in RNAcentral is "partial 16S ribosomal RNA". It matches the Rfam family "Bacterial small subunit ribosomal RNA", at positions 29 to 507 of the family's 1533-position model. The record is from RNAcentral.
AGUGAACGCUGGCGGUAGGCCUAACACAUGCAAGUCGAACGGCAGCACAGUAAGCGCUUGCUCUUACGGGUGGCGAGUGGCGGACGGGUGCGGAAUACAUCGGAAUCUACUUUUUCGUGGGGGAUAACGAAGGGAAACUUACGCUAAUACCGCAUACGACCUACGGGUGAAAGCAGGGGAGCUUCGGACCUUGGGCGGUUGAAUGAGACGAUGUCGGAUCAGCUAGUGGGCGGGGUAAAGGCCAACUAAGGCGACGAGCCGUAGCUGGUCUGCGAGGAUGAUAGGCCACACUGGAACUGAAAGACGGUCCAGACUCCUACGGGAGGCAGCAGUGGGGAAUAUUGGACAAUGGGCGCAAGCCUGAUCCAGCAAUACCGCGUGGGUGAAGAAGGCCUUCGGGUGGUAAAGCCCAUGUGUUGGGAAAGAAAAGCAGCAGGUUAAUAAGAAGCUGUUCUGACGGUACCUAAAGAAUAAGCACCGGCUAACUUCGUG